AUCGAAAAAAUUUCCAACAAUUUUUUUUAUUCUCGCAGUUAAAAACGUCGUCGUUCUUUAUUUUUGUCUCAAGAAUUCAACUUAUUUUUUGUUUAAUUAUUUCUAAUUUCUUUAUAAUUUUGUUUGCUUAUUAAUUCCCAUAAAACUUUUUUUUAUUUCAUUCGUUGAAAGAUGGAAAAUAAACAAAAUGAUGGACCAUGGGGUUUCUCCUCAUCCUCAUCUGAUUUUCCUACUAUUCCCCCUCCACCAUCGUCAAGCAGACAACAACAACAACCAAAUUUGACCCAAAACCAGUUGCAACAAACCCAAGCCAAAGUCGAUGAGGUCGUUGACAUUAUGCGAGUAAAUGUUGAAAAAGUCCUGGAACGCGACCAAAAAUUGUCUGAGUUGGGCGAAAGGGCGGACGCCCUCGAGCAUGGUGCAUCCCAGUUUGAGCAACAGGCUGGCAAACUUAAACGGAAGCAGUGGUGGGCUAACGUCAAGAUGAUGAUAAUCAUGGGUGUAAUCGGAGUUGUCCUGUUAAUUAUUAUAAUUGCUUCCUUAUUCGCUUGAUCAAAAAAUUAAAAAUUACUCAUAAUAACAUAAAAUUUUAAUUGGAGGCUCUUUAAAAAUACUUUAUUAAAGUUUAGGGACCAGUACUUUAAGAAAUUUUCACUUCUUCCCUCCAGCAGUGAUGCCCCAGUGGACAAAAACUAAUUUCUGAAAUAAAAAAAAAAAAAAAAAAAUUAUUAAACUU
Episyrphus balteatus (marmalade hoverfly) is the source of this 736-nucleotide RNA transcript. It is a transcript of the gene named synaptobrevin, with no coding region annotated. The transcript is spliced from 5 exons. NCBI's taxonomy places the organism in Eukaryota, Metazoa, Arthropoda, Insecta, Diptera, Syrphidae. The record is from RefSeq and is a predicted model, not a curated record.